This 445-nucleotide ribosomal RNA is filed under the name uncultured bacterium. RNAcentral describes it as "bacterial SSU rRNA". It matches the Rfam family "Bacterial small subunit ribosomal RNA", at positions 354 to 796 of the family's 1533-position model. The record is from RNAcentral.
GUGAGGAAUAUUGGUCAAUGGACGAGAGUCUGAACCAGCCAAGUCGCGUGAAGGAAGACGGUUCUAUGAAUUGUAAACUUCUUUUGUGCAGGAAUAAAGUGGGUUACGUGUAACCUUUUGUAUGUACUGUACGAAUAAGGAUCGGCUAACUCCGUGCCAGCAGCCGCGGUAAUACGGAGGAUCCGAGCGUUAUCCGGAUUUAUUGGGUUUAAAGGGUGCGUAGGUGGAUUGAUAAGUCAGCGGUGAAAGUUUGCAGCUUAACUGUAAAAUUGCCGUUGAAACUGUCGGUCUUGAGUGCAAAUGAGGUAGGCGGAAUGUGUUGUGUAGCGGUGAAAUGCUUAGAUAUAACACAGAACUCCGAUUGCGAAGGCAGCUUACUGGGAUGCAACUGACACUGAUGCACGAAAGCGUGGGUAUCAAACAGGAUUAGAUACCCUAGUAGUCC